This 669-nucleotide ribosomal RNA is filed under the name Triticum aestivum (bread wheat). Its description in RNAcentral is "partial small subunit ribosomal RNA". Lineage: Eukaryota; Viridiplantae; Streptophyta; Magnoliopsida; Poales; Poaceae. The record is from RNAcentral.
AUGAUCCCCAUCUUCUUCCUCCUACUCUUGAGUUCAUUCUGCAGCGCCGAUGACCAGCUCACACAAGCAAAGCCACUCGCCCAUGGCGGCAUGCUCAUCUCCGAGAGCGGGGACUUUGCUCUGGGCUUCAUCUCCCCGACAAGCUCCAACAAGAGUUUUUACAUUGGCAUAUGGUACCACAGCCUCCCCGGGCCACGGACCGUUGUGUGGAUCGCCAACCGCGACAGCCCAAUCAUCAACCCUUCGUCCAUGAUGCUCAAGGUAACUAACAAUUCUCGCAUGGUAUUAUCAGACUCCGAAGGCCGUAUUAUUUGGAUGGCAGGAAGCAAUGCCACUUCUGGGGCGGCAGGAGCUUAUGCAGUACUACUCAACUCAGGGAACUUUGUCCUCCGGUCUUCGGGCAACCAGGACAUAUGGUUGAGCUUCGAUCAUCCGACCGACACCAUCCUUCCAAACAUGAGAUUUUUGGUGAGCUACAAGGCACAAAUCGUCACACGUCUUGUUGCUUGGAAGGGCCCCGAUGACCCAUCUUCUGGGGACUUCUCAUGCAGUGGCGACCCAAGAUCCCCAGACCUUCAGUUGGUAACGUUGAACAAGGCUAGGCUAUAUUGUCGUAUCAUUGUGUGGGACGGUGUGUCGGUGUCCGGCCGCACUUCUAACCAACACUAG